UGAAGGUGGCUCCAGAUCGUUGAAUGUUGAAUCCAACGGUCUGUAGCUACCUUCACC
This 57-nucleotide microRNA precursor is filed under the name Panagrellus redivivus. Its description in RNAcentral is "microRNA prd-mir-7878 precursor". Lineage: Eukaryota; Metazoa; Nematoda; Chromadorea; Rhabditida; Panagrolaimidae. The record is from miRBase by way of RNAcentral.